CCAAAUUCCAAACUCAAGAUAGACUGGACAAACGAAAUUUCUAAUCCCAUAAACUGGGCAAACAAACAAAAUUUCCAAAUCCCGUGAAUCGGGCAUCAAAAGAAAUUUUCAAUCCCACGAACUGGGCACAAAUUUCACACAAAUUUCAAAUUCAAGCUCGACAAAUGCCAAAUUUAAGGUAAUCACAGCUAACAUCACAUCCCCAUCUUUCUCGUCACAAUGAACCCAUCAAAAUCAGCAUAGCAACAAUAUCCCAAAAUUCAAACUUUAGCUCCUCUUCUCCAUCCAUCCAUCCAUUGAAAGCCCAAAUAAAACUAAACCCAUACCCAAACAAUAACCAAGCCCAAUAGUAAACUCAAUUGACCAAAACCCAACUCAUAAUCUAUAGCCCAAAUAAUAUUUCCACCCAAUAAAACAUAUACUAUAGGCUACAGCCCAUAUGCCAUAUAACAAAAUACCCAAUUAAAUCAAUCACCAACCCAAGCGCCCAAUUACUCACAAAUCACAGUCCAAUUAAAAACUCAUUAAGCUUCAACCACAGAAGCCCUACAGCAACCGUCCGCCACUCUACGCCGUCGACAUCUGCCUUCUUCUCCAUGGGUCUUGUCGCCGGCCACCACACCUCCAACUACUAACUCCUACAACAACAAUACUCAAACAACCUAUAAACCACUGCUACAACAGAGCAAGGGAUCACAGAUUUCGCCAACUUCGAAGAAGAAUUGAACAU
This 730-nucleotide long non-coding RNA is filed under the name Olea europaea subsp. europaea. The record is from RNAcentral. Lineage: Eukaryota; Viridiplantae; Streptophyta; Magnoliopsida; Lamiales; Oleaceae.